GAUCAAGAGUGUGUGAAGCUUUUGAGAAUUGUGGUUGCCCUCCAUUGAUGAAGCUCUUGUUGGCACCAUGAAUUGGUUUUGCUUCACACUGUUUUGAUCAAGAGUGUGUGGCCCUCCAUUGAUGAAGCUCUUGUUAGCACCAUGAAUUGGUUUUGCUUCACACUGUCUUGAUUAAGAGUGCGUGAAACUUUUGAGAAUUGUGGUUGCCCUCCAUUGAUGAAGCUCUUGUUGGCACCAUAAAUUGGUUUUGCUUCACACUGUAUUGAUCAAGAGUGUGUGAAGCUUUUGAGAAUUGUGGUUGAGCUCAUUUGUUGAAGUUCUUGUUAGCACCAUAAAUUGGUUUUGCUUCACACUGUCUUGAUCAAGAGUGUGUGAAGCUUUCUACGAGUUGUAGUGUUUGCAUUAUUACAGAAGGGAAAUGUCUGAAGCAGAUGCAAGAGGGCUGAAUAGCUUGAUCUUGCAAUAAGACUUUGUUGGUGACUAUAACUCUUGUUGGGCAUAAGUGCUCCCCUAGUUGAGUUGUCAAGCUUGAGGGUUUUUGAUUAUUUGUGAAUGCUAGGAGUUCACAUGUACAAGUUGUACCACUCGUCUUUUGGUAGGUGGAAUGAAUGGUGAGUUACUUUCAUCACUUGGUUGGUGGUACGAAGGUGAGUUCCUUCAUCACCU
RNAcentral lists this long non-coding RNA (666 nucleotides) under Malus domestica (apple). RNAcentral's name for it is "long non-coding RNA (MDOM_LNC010362)". The record is from RNAcentral. Lineage: Eukaryota; Viridiplantae; Streptophyta; Magnoliopsida; Rosales; Rosaceae.